GGGGUCAAGCCCCCUUGGAGCCUGCAGCCCCUGCCUUCCCUGGGUGGGCUGAUGCUUGGAGCAGAGAUGAGGACUCAGAAUCAGACCUGUGUCUGGAGGAGGGAUGUGGUGGGUGGGGUUGGCUGGGCCCAAAUGUGUGCUGCAGGCCCUGAUCCCCAACUCUGCAACUGGGGACCCCUGCAUGGCCACAGCUCAGGCUGGGCUGUGGUGCCAGCAUAGAUAGGUGGGUGAGUGGGUGGCCCUUCCAUUAAAAGGGAAGCCAGCUGUGUCCUUUCCGGGCCUGGAGGCUUGGCCCCUCCUCUCCCAAGCCUGGCAGGGGCACUGGCCCGGCCCGCACCUUCCUAGCAGCCAGUUACCCAAGAGGAAGCUGCCUUGGGCCUCCAGACCGUUAAAUGCCAACUCCUGGCUUCCGGUAUCAGGCUGGGUUGACCUGACCUGGCCCCUUCUUGCUGGGCCCUGCAGCUUUCUAACUUGCCGGGAGGAGCAGUGACACCCGCCCCACAUGUGGGGCAUGGAACAAGUUCCUUGUGGACCCAGAAGGGACACAAGCAGGUGUGCUUAGUCCUGAGGCGCUGGGAAUAGCUGAUCCUCCCUGCCUUGAGGGGGUUCUCAGGGCAGGGAAGAGUUAGGACUCUGUUUUUUUUUUUUUGUUUUUUUUUUUUUGAGAUGGAGUCUCGCACUGUCACCCGGGCUGGAGUGCAAUGGCUCGAUCUCGGCUCACUGCAACCUCCACCUCCCCAGUUCACACGAUUCUCCUGCCUCAGCCUCCCAAGUAGCUGGGAUUACAGGUGCACACCACCGCACCUGGCUAAUUUUUGUAUUUUUAGUAGAGACCGAGUUUCGCCAUGUUGGCCAGGCUGGUCUCGAACUCUUGACCUCAGGUGAUCUGCCCGCCUCAGCCACCCAAAGUGUUGGGAUUACAGGCAUGAGCCACUGCGCCCGGCCAAUUUUUUUUUAUGUUUUGUAGAGACGGGGUUUCGCCAUGUUACCCAGACUGGUCUUGAACUCCUGACCUCAAGCAAUCUGCUCGUCUUAGCCUCCCAAAGUGCUGGGAUUACAGCUGUGAGCCACCGUGCCUGGCCUUUUAUUGUUUGUUUUUGAGACGGAGUCUCACUCUGUUGCCCAGGCUGAAGUGCAGUGGUGUGAUCUUGGCUCACUGCAACCUCUGCCUCCUGGGUUCAAGCGAUUCUCCUGCCUCAGCCUCCUGAGUAGCUGGGCUUACAGGCACCCACCACCAUGCCCGGCUAAUCUUUGUAUUUUUAGUAGAGACGGGGUUUCACCAUCUUGGCCAGGCUGGUGUGAUCAUGGCUCAUUGCAACCUUGAAUUCCUGGGCACAAGUGAUCCUCCUGCCUUAGCCUCCCCAGUAGAGCUGGGACUACAGGUAUGCGCCACCACACCUGGCUAAUUUUUUUAAUUUUAAUUUUUGUAGAGAUGGGGGGGCAGGUCUCACUAUGUUGCCCAGGCUGUUCUCGAACUCCUGGCCACAAGCCAUCCUCCCACCUUAGUCUCCCAAUGCGCCGGAAUUACAGGUGGCUCAGGUGUGAGCCACCGUGCCUGGCUUUUCUCCACUAUCUUGAAAUCAGAUGGGAGGAGGCUUUUUUCUGGGUGGGACUGAGGAGGCACACUGAAGUCCCCCAGGUCAUCGGGGCUGGGCCAUUGCCUUUUUCCCCACCCUGGGUAGUCGUGGACAGAAGCUUGGGAUGGGAUGGAGAGGAGAGAUCGUGCUGUGUGUCAUGUCUGUUGUUCAAGUAAAUAAAAGUUGCCCUGACUUCA
Molecule: long non-coding RNA, 1774 nt
Filed under: Homo sapiens (human)
Lineage: Eukaryota; Metazoa; Chordata; Mammalia; Primates; Hominidae
Description: non-protein coding lnc-C19orf57-6:6
Source: RNAcentral